ACAGUAAGCUAAGGGUGCUCACUUUUAUUCGUGGGCUGAGAACAAACCUUCUGACCUGAUCUGGAUAAUACCAGCGUAGGAAUUGACCAAGAAGCCAAGU
RNAcentral lists this non-coding RNA (100 nucleotides) under Hoylesella timonensis. RNAcentral's name for it is "Prevotella timonensis TPP sequence". It matches the Rfam family "TPP riboswitch aptamer (THI element)". From Rfam's summary of the family: Vitamin B(1) in its active form thiamin pyrophosphate (TPP) is an essential coenzyme that is synthesised by coupling of pyrimidine and thiazole moieties in bacteria. The previously detected thiamin-regulatory element, thi box was extended, resulting in a new, highly conserved RNA secondary structure, the THI element, which is widely distributed in eubacteria and also occurs in some archaea. The record is from RNAcentral. RNAcentral also lists the same sequence under 1 other name. Lineage: Bacteria; Pseudomonadati; Bacteroidota; Bacteroidia; Bacteroidales; Prevotellaceae.